GAUGAACGCUAGCUACAGGCUUAACACAUGCAAGUCGAGGGGAAACGACAUCGAAAGCUUGCUUUUGAUGGGCGUCGACCGGCGCACGGGUGAGUAACGCGUAUCCAACCUGCCCAUCACUUGGGAAUAACCUUGCGAAAGUAAGACUAAUACCCAAUGGUAUCCCACGAAGGCAUCGGAAUGGGAUUAAAGAUUUAUCGGUGAUGGAUGGGGAUGCGUCUGAUUAGCUUGUUGGCGGGGUAACGGCCCACCAAGGCAACGAUCAGUAGGGGUUCUGAGAGGAAGGUCCCCCACAUUGGAACUGAGACACGGUCCAAACUCCUACGGGAGGCAGCAGUGAGGAAUAUUGGUCAAUGGGCGAGAGCCUGAACCAGCCAAGUAGCGUGCAGGAAGACGGCCCUAUGGGUUGUAAACUGCUUUUAUAAGGGAAUAAAGUGGGUCACGUGUGACUUUUUGCAUGUACCUUAUGAAUAAGGACCGGCUAAUUCCGUG
Molecule: ribosomal RNA, 492 nt
Filed under: uncultured bacterium
Lineage: Bacteria
Description: partial 16S ribosomal RNA
Rfam family: Bacterial small subunit ribosomal RNA
Source: RNAcentral